RNAcentral lists this long non-coding RNA (10438 nucleotides) under Marmota monax (woodchuck). Lineage: Eukaryota; Metazoa; Chordata; Mammalia; Rodentia; Sciuridae. The record is from RNAcentral.
AUCGAUCCACAAGAUGACAAGGGAACUGAAAAAGGCCUGUGGCUGGUGACAUCAUAGCCCUGCAGCUUCCUCCUGUGCUUGGGGCGAUGCUGGUGUGAACAUGUCUACGAGGCUCCAGUCAAAGCGAAGUCCUGCUGUCCCCUACAGGACAUGACAGUCGAUCAUAGAAACAACAACUGUGCUUCUGGUUUAUUACACAUCUCACGUUGACCACAUCUCUUGAUGACAUCGAGAGGCCACGUGGAGUGAUUGACCCAGAAUUGUCUGGGUUUGUGUUCUUCACACAGUGACGGGGUCCCCUGGUGUCACAUUUCCUGGGAGUUAGCCCCAUCAGGACUGACGCUCAAGCGUACCUCUGCUCCAGGUGAUGUGUGGCAAGAAAGGUGAGGAGCCAAGGAUCUAGCUGUGCUCAGGUAAGCCAACGGUCCCCUGGGAAGGCCAGCUAUGCGUCCUGCUGCUGUGUGUUAGCCAGGGCCCCAGGCUUGCCACAGCAAGCUUAAGUAGAAGGGGGCACAGCCCGCCCCCCGGACUGUCCAUCACUUCACUAGACACCCUGGGGCCAGUUGAACUGUAGCCCCUGAGGGGCUGUGGGUGGGUGAAGGGGCAGAUCCUGCAGGCAGCUGCCCGACAACCCUGCUUGCACCCACUGGACCUCCCAUCAGGGCUUUUUCCUGACCAUUGCUUGGCCCCUACUUCCAAGUCCUCGGUCAGUGGGACUCUAGCACUGACUCUAGCAGUCAACUCCUGGCUGAAAAGACACUUAAGGGUUGUCCCCAGGCAGCUCCGAGGUGGUGUGGCCGUGGGGAGCCCGGAACAGAGUUUUGAAAGCUUUCUUCCAACAUCCCCCUCUGAUCCUUUUCCCGGCACCCAGGCUGGUCCCACCUGUGUCAGAUGAAGACGAGCUUCUGUCACUCCCACGAUGUCCCCGGAUUCUCUGUGGGAUUGUCCUGGGGAACUGUUCCUGUACUCCAUCUUGCCCUCUGGCUUUUACUCUUUCUUAAAGAUUGACUUGGGUGGCAGGAACCUGCACACUAUGCUCAUUCAUUAUCUUAGGAAGAAACAAAAAUAGCAUCACGGUGCCUAAGGAGACUCUUCUCCAGCUCUCCGUCCUGGGUCUCUGUCUCCUGUGGUUGCCCCAGUAAGAUGUCACCAUGUCUCUACUUCGGUAGCACUGACAACAGGACGCACAAGCACGAAGGGGGUGGGUCUGUCCAUCUGUUCAUUUUCUGAACUUUUUACUGAGAAAUAAUAUACAUUCAGAGAAGAAUACAGAUCAGACCUCCAAUCCACCUUCACAAAGAGAUCACAUCUACAUAAUCUGCAGCCACUUCUAGAAACAUUACAAGGAAAUUUGCUAAUGUUAAUAUGACCAAUGUCAGAAAAGCCUUCCUUAAGGCUAAGAGCUCCCAUUCUGUAAUUUCCAGCAACUCUUUCAGCUCUAAGGAGUUACACAAAAUAAGUGCAAUGUUUUCUUUUUUUUAGAAAUGUUUUCUUACUUUCAAGUACUUGGAGUAAAACGUUUGCCAUCCUUAAAAAUUCUCUUUCCCCGUAUUAUGCAAUCUUCUCUCAACCAGUUUUGCUAUGACAAGACGCUGCUUAUGAUGGUAUAUGGAGGUACACUGGGUUGGAGGGCCAACUUAGGCAAAGAGACGUGUGGAGAACAGAUGUUCAGGGACAGAAAGUGACUCUCUGGUCUGGUCAGUAGCAAUACAAGAAGCAAACAGAACCUGAAUGGCAUCUGCCACAAAAGCCGUCAAGUUCCCCUCCUCUGGGUCACGGUGGGAAGUCUGGUUGCUCCAGUCUUCCUGGGUAGGUGGACAUCAGGUGGACAGAGAGCAAGAGACACCAGCUGAUGCACAGGCUGAGGUCCUCCAGGGGACUGGCACAAGUCAGUGGCAGCCCAGGGACCCAGGGUGGUGCAAUCAGAGCUGGCAGCUGAGAGAUGACCGCUGAACUGAGGUGAGAAAAAGCUCUGGCUGCUACCAAGACUCAGGCGACACUCAUCUGGGGCUAACUACAGAACCCUCCAAGUUUUCAGGGACAGCCCAGGAGACAGGAUAAGGCCUUAGGUGUUGGGGACCACACGGAUUAGAUUUCCAGACUUUGGGGACAGGAAUUAAUUCUUGCUGACGUGGAUAACAUGGAGUCGACUCAGCCUCCUCCAACAGCCCCUCCUCCACCGCGCCACCUGGAGCCACGGGAAGGGACUGGACCAAGUGGAAAUGUAAAAUGUAUUAAGUUUGGACACUUUAGACGCGUGUCCUCUUCCAGAUCCUUCCGUAGUCCAUAGAACUUCUCCUUUUCUGCUUCUUCCUCCUCCUUUUCUUCCUCCAUCUUCUCCUUCCUCCUUUAUAUACUGAGUCCAGUUAAUUCAAGGUAUCAAAAAGGAGUCCCCUUAUUUAUGUUAAUAUGUUCAUUUAGGCAGGUAUUUGAUAUGCUCCUUUUAAUAGUAUUUAUUCUUAAAUUUAAUUGUUGCUUUUUCAUUCCAAUUGUAUUCAGGGAACAUUUGAAAAUAAAAGUGGUGGGUUUGGCCUCCUCUGCGUACAGAAUCCAGCUGCGUGGGUCCUACUCGGGUCUGUUUUUAGCUUUUCCUGUGUACAUACUCCUAGUCUUUGGUGUCCUGAGUCGUUGCUACAUUUGUUCAGAAAGAACUCGUCCAUUUCCUGUUUCAGGGCCUGACUCGCGGCCUGUGUCUGUUUCCCCUAGCGUUCCAGAGCCCCACCACACAAUUUAAAGUGUAAUGGGUAUUGGCUGUGGAGUAUUCAAACCCAUUGCCAGAAAAACUCUGUUGGUUGAGCAGAGUUGGGUUUUUUGGACUUACUGCAACAAGGGAGAACAUUGGCAUGCUCUGGAGUCCAGUGGCAUCUCAGGAUAGAGAAGUCGAAGGAGGGUUACUUAAGGUUUUAGAGCCGGGUUGGGUGAAUUUUUGCAUAGCAGGGGACAGGUUGGGAUUGACCUGUUAGUCCUGAUAAGUGAGACAUUUCAGGAAUUCCAUAGUCUAAUUACCCAGGGGCCAACAUUUAUUGAAGCAAGGCACUAGGUUAUUUUUGCCUGGUCCCAGCCUUGGUUAGCUGAAAACCAGGAAAGCAAACUUUAUCUCAGAACGGUUUAAUGAAAAAAAAAAAAGGGAAACAGGUUAGUUUCAGUUCAUAUGAGCAUGCAAAAGGGGUUUGACUACAACUUCAAUAUCCAGAGGGAGCAUGGUUUUAAUAUUUUCCCUCUAACUGAUCUGCUCUACUAGGUGGGCACAUUAUGGGUAAAUAAGAACAAAUCCAUUGGUGCAGCUUAGGGUCCUAGUGACUGGGACAGUGACUCUUGGCCACCCGCUUGCUGAUCUGUCCAUUGGAGUUUCCAGUUACCCUUCAUAGCUAAGAGAAUAUUUUUUUCUAGUUCCUCUCCCUUGGCCAGAGCUGACAGUUCUCUCUGGGUGACUUGGUGUCCCCCCAGCAAUAGCCAAUCGCAGCACACUCUAAUCUCUCGUUCUGUUCCUGAGCCUGCAUAUUUCUUCCCAGCCUUUGGGGGCCUCCAUGAUAGACCAACUAGAUCCAUUCUAGGCUUCUCUGGGUGGAAAUAAAUGAAGACCAGCCACAAAAGGGAAGCAAAGUCUAUUUAUUCUAGGCUUGCUCUAGUGAGGGAAUCACCUGCUGUCAUAGUGUCUGGCAGAGACUCAAAGGCAGGCAGAGAAGAGGGCAGUCUGUCCAAGGGAAGGCUGCAGGUCUGUCCUGAUUGGUGGCUAUUGGCACAGGGAAGUUGGAGGCAGCUAACGGGAAGCAGGCAUCUGUGUGAUUAGUGAAAGAUGUGUCUCAGUCCAAUUUGUGUUGCUAUAACACAAUACCACAUGCUGGGUAGCUUAUAAAGAAAAGAGAUUUAUUUCUCACAGUUCUGGAGGCUGGAAAGUCCAAGAUUACGAUGCCAGGGCCUUUUUGCUGCAUUAUCCCAUGGUGGAAGGCAAGAGGGUGAAAGAAGGCAGGAAAGCAAGAGAGCGCUAAACUCACUUUUAAAACAAACCCAUUCAUUAAUUCAUUCGUGAAGGCAGAGACCUCAUGGUCUAAUCAACUCUUAAAGGUGCCACCUUUCAACACUGCUGCAUUGAGAAUUGAUUUCCCAACACACAGAUGCUAGGGAACACACCCAAACCAUAGUAAGAUGCACACUCAGCUUUGUCUGGUGGGUCUUAAGUUGGAAGCUGAGAAAAAUCUUAGGGAAGCUGGCCAUUAAUCAAGUCUUGGUCAUCUCGUGCUGGUUGUUAGUAGUUAUCAUGUAGAUUCCUUGAUUGUUGCUAGAGAUAGCGGUGUAGUUUUCCUGCAAGCCUAACUUACAGCAGGCUGGCUUCCUGAGUUGUUUAUUGUUGACAAGAGGACCGGUUUCCUGGGAAGGUUGUCGUAGGCUGUGGGUCAGAGUUCUGCUUUUAAACAUGGUCUAGCCACUGUCCAUUUCAUAUUCAGUCUCUCACUACCACACAGGAGCUGACGGACUCAACCAGGCGUGGUAAGGAGACCCUCCGAGCCGCUUCAACCCCUUACCAAUGUCGCAGGUGCACAAUUUCGUCUCCGUGCCUCUGGCCCUUGGUGUUGACACCAACUGCUGUUGGAUUCUCCUAACUCAACCCCUUCCUCUUUUCUUCCUCUUUAAUUUUUUUCUCUUAUCAUCUCCCACGACUGGGGAACAGGGCUCACCUGCUGUCUUCUGGGGCAUUACUUCUUCCAACGGGACAGCAAGUCUCAUGUCUAGCUCUUGUCUCCAGAGGAAAAAACUUUCCCACCUUGCAGAACUUGAAGGUCUGGGUGCUCCCCAGAUUUGGGGUUGGCAAUGGACAGGAUGUUUCUUUAUCCUGUUAGACAGACUAACGCCAAGGUUUCCAACCUGUCACCUUGAGCCCUGUCACAGAUGGCUUACUGAUAGUGGCAGACACCCUGUGUCCAGUUUAUUCCUGCCACGUUAGCCACUGUCUAGGAGAGCCUCGACCAGGAAAGAAGUUAGGUUCAAGUGUGUUGAUGGGGUAAGACACAGAACGGGCAGCACAACAGGACCCAUGAGAUGUCUGAAGCAGUUUAUUGCUCACAGAUCCCGGUGACAAGAGGGCAGCACACCCAGCAGGGCCAGUGGGAAGACAGAGACCAUCAGGAACAUGGGCACUCAAGCAGCAGGUGGGAAGCAUGUCACCGAGAAAGACAGGCUGGGGUUGAAGGUUUCCUUGGCGUCCAGGGCAUUGCCCAAGCAGGUCUCCCACAGGGUGUUCUGAGUGGCAGGAUUGGAAGGCAGGUGCACAUCAUGAAGUCUCGGUGAGCCUGAAAGAUGUUCCCGGUGGCUUAUCUGUGCAGCCCACGCAGGAUGGGAGUCAGGGGGUUACCCAAGUAGGUUGCAUCUAGCUGCUGCAUAAGGAGGUGGUCACUGAGAGGCAGUCGUUUAAGGCAGGUGACAGAUCGGUCACCGUGAGGAAGGAGGGGAGAUGGAAAACUGGAAACUGCGUAAAGGUGACAAAAAUCCCAAUUCUGGAAUGAAAAAAAGUCCAACUUACACUGAAAAUGAAUCUCAAGGCAACCUAAAAUUAUAAGAAUUCACUGCCUAGGACAGAGGAGGAGAUAAAGAAAUUCAGGUAGGUUUUAGGGAAAAAAAAAUAGUUUCCUUGCCAGUCUAUUUUGUUUCAAAUCCUAUAUUGAAUAUCAAAAGCUUUCUUUCUCUUGGCAUACCGCAAGACUUACCCCCAGACCUCGGGGCAGAUGACCCUGGAGCCAAUUAGGAAGAAAAACCUACACUUGCAAAACCAAAAGGGAAAUUGCAUUAAUUUCUUUUUCUAAAUAUGGCUCUGAUUGCACAAGUUAUUCUUCACUAUGUUCACAUAGAAUUCUUUUGUUCCUGCUUCCUUCCACUGGCUUUCUUUGGGGUAGCAGAGGUUAAUAGGGAGAAAUGAAGCUAUUUCUUGUGCUCUGUUUAAAAAAAUGAUCUCUUCCUCUCCAUUUUAACUGCUGGAAUAUAAAGUCUCUUUUAUCUUCUCAGUAUAGGGCUCCACCUUUUCAGAAGAGGCUCCAUUGGUUUUUCUGUUUCUUUCCCAUAAUUUUGAACUUCCCACCCCCCACUUGCUUGACUCUUAAUGGAAAAUAGAUCUACAGCACAUCACUUGUAAAGAUCUUGUUCAUGAGGCUCCCUACCUGACCCUCUACUGGAAGUCCGUCAAGGUCUGUGUGUGCAUACAUGUGCAGGCAAUAAUAGGUCCUCUGUCCUUCCUUGACUUGAUUGCCCUUACAGACUGCAUGUAAUAAUAAUUUUAUAUCUGAGUUUGGCUGUUAUUUCAUUCCCUCUAGUUCUAACCCAUUAUUUUACAUUUUCAGAGGCUCAUUAUGACUCAUUGGGCAGCCGAAGAAACAUAAUGAGUCCAAGAUGAUUGCAUGUGGCGGCACUCCACAAAUAGAUAUUAAACAGCUCAUGAAAUCUAUAAAUGUCCUCACUAUCCUGGGUGCAUUACAAAGCUAUGAAUCAAUAAUUCAGUUUUGUAUGCUCUUUAAGAUUCUAGCUUUCUUGACUUUUCUUCUUGGAGAUGGAGGCUAUAAGCAAUACAGGGAAAAGAAGGUUGAUGGAGGAGAAGACUACAAAGAAAAAAAAAAAGAAAAUAUUUAAAAUAAUAUAAGCCCUUUCUCAGAGCUCUUUGACAGUUGUCCGCAUGAAGAACAAACAAUAUCAGGCACAGAGUAUAAAUGUUCAAAACACAUUUGUUGAAUGAGCAAAUAAGUUUAAUGACUAUAUUUUGGAUUGAAUUUGGACGUGGGUUUUGAUAGCGCCUGGCACUGCCCAUGUAUCCAUUCAUUAAUUCUCAAAACUGAGGAAGGACCUGAUAGUAUCGCCACUUACCAAAUGGUAAUACCAGAGGCCUCCAAUAAAGAGAAAUAUACAAGCUGAAUGUUGGGAAAAGUCCAUGUUUAUUAGGAAGCUUAUAAAGAUACUGAAAAAAGAAACUAUCCAGGAAUAACUGAAUUUGGAUUCGCCUUUAGGGUCUGCAUUUCAUGCCACCAUCUACCAACUUGCCAAGCCCAGACACGUGAGUAUCAUCUACACUCACAUCCACACCCGAUCCCCACCACAUUCCCUCUGUGCUUCCACAAUUUUCAUAUACAUCCUCUCCUGCUCCACUGUCAUUACCAAAUUCCAAACUGUCAUUAAUUCUUAACUUGGUGAAAGAAAGAACCUUCCAACCAAUCUCCCUGUCUCCACUCUUGCUUCUUUUCCCACUACAUGCUGACAUAAUCUUCAGAAAUACAAACCUAACUGUGGUCCUCUUCUGUUUAAACAUCUUUCAAGUAUUUCGCUCGUUUUGAGGAUAGAAUUGAAAUUCAUUAACAAAGCACACGGAGUCCCUCAAGAUCUCCCCUGGAUCUCCCUCCGGCCUCAUCAACUCACCGUCAAGAAGAAUUUCCCAUUCUUCUUGAACAUUCAUUCUUCACACCUUCCUUAGGACACCUGUGUCUCUGAGCAUGUAAAAGCAUUUUCCCUUCUUAUCCUUCCUUCGGCUGUAAGACAUCCUUGAAGAUCUAGCUCUGUUGUCCUCUGGGACACCUAACCUACUUCUCCUGUUCCCUCCAACGAACACACAUCUCAAAAGUGAGCCUCACACUUUAUGAGACUGGAUCCCGACAGGAAGGCACCCAACGACCAGUCUAAAUCUGAGGAGAGUUUAUUCACAAGGGACUAUGAAUGAAGUUGCGGGUGAAGUUAAGCAGAAGCACAGGGACUGGUAUAGAAAUUUGGGGUUAGUGGCAGCCACAGAGCUGCCACAUCCCUGGGUCAGAAGGCAGAUGGUAAGGGAGAGGGUGGGUUCCUUUGGUAUGAUCAGUGAUAUUUAAUUGAGUCAUCCUCCAAAGGAGGUUUAGAAUAAACACCCAUGAGCUUCCUCUCUGUCCUCCAGCCUCCUGAAACGCUCCUCACUGUGGGAGGCACCAGGAAACCAGAGGGCCCAGGAGUCUUGCUGCUGUGACCCAUGUCGACCGCCCUCUAGGGGAAGAGCUAAAGGUGAUGCGAUGAGGAAAGAUCUCCCCUCUACUGCGGACCUCUAAAUUAAACCAACGAAGGACAGAUGGAGAGCGAAGCAUAGAAAUUUUACUUAUGUUAAUAUUUUUCCAUGGCACAGGGUCCUUCGUAGAAAAGAAAUGAAGACCCCCACAGGGGAUUCGGCCUGAGAGCUCAUAUACCAUUUCAGCCAAGAACAAUCAGUUGUGGAGAUGUGACCAGAUUAAAGCAAAGGGGUUUCAGGCUUCAACAAUAAAUUGUGGGAAAGCAACUAGGAAAUUUGUGGGGAAAAACAAUGAAAGAUAAGGACGAUUUUAGUAGAUUUGUUUGUACAGAUUUGACUUGACAUCAACUACCCAUUUCCAGUGACAGAAAAGUUCUCUUCCUGGUUCAGGGAAGGAGGCACCUUUCACAAUGGGGAAUCUACGCCUCCUGGAAGAAGGCAAAGAGUCUUACCUGCAUCUGCUGUUUCUCAAAUUUCAGCUCAAAAUAAGCAGUAUGUCCAAGUGUGAUAUUUGGGGUGGCAUGCCGGGGGCAGAUCUGCAGGGGCACAGUGCCCUUCUUCUGUGGCCCACGGUAUUGUGCACACCUCUGAAAUCCACACCCACUCCUGAACUCUAAUUGCUGAACUGCUUCUCUCCCUCCUUAGUCUGUCUGCUGUUUGAAAAGGAGUUGGGCCUUUCACCUCUUUUCCCCAGUGGCUACUACAGUGCCUGGCAUAUGACAUGAAUGCAAUAAGUAUUCUCUAAAAUGAAAUAAAAAUGUGAUUGUGCACAGUGCCAGAACUGUUAGAGACCUCAGAGGUGGUUUAGUCUACUCUUCUCAUUUCCAACAUGAAAAAAAAAAAAACUGUCACCUGGAGGCAAAUGGCUGUGUCCAAGCAUUACUAUGAAUAGCAGUAAACUCAGGACUAGAUUUUCAUUUUUCUGAUUCCAGGUUUCCUCUACUCCUUAAUUUUAACUGCAAUCUCAGGUUGUUCCUUGGAACGAGAACUCAUACAAGUUUCCCAUAAAACCCAGAGUCGUAUGUUUUGGCAACAAGAGGGAGACAGCGAGAAGGGUUGGAUCUGCCUGCUUUGAUUCCUUUGCCAAAAACAACUUCUGAGUUCUCUGGAUAGCACACUUGCAAACCUCGCAAAGUGCCACAAGUUGGAGUCAUGAAACGAAGUGUGGAGCCUGAGAAUAACUCCUUCGCACAGACUACCUCUGGUGGUGGGUGGUGAGGUUUUUUUUUUUCUUUAACAUCCUAUUAGCACAUUAUCUUUAGUUUCCAGAGCCUUUCUUGGUUCCAAACUUACAGGUGGUGAUGGUGAGUGGGAGGGAGAUUGAGUAAGAUGUUCCUUAGUCGGGAGGCAAAGCUGUUGGUCCCUCCUCACGCCAUGGUUCAGCCAUUGGCCACAGCUGCUGCUGCUGCUGCUGCUGCUGAUGCAGCUUUCUUCCAGGCAAAUACAACCACUGCUUCUGAAAUGUGUGCAUGCCAGGAGCAAGAGUCAGGAGCACUCAUCAUCCUGGACCAGAAUCACCUGUUUACCUAUCUGCCCUCACCCCACUGUGUGCUCUUGAAAUCCUUGGUUAUGUCUUCUGUCUAGGUAGCCUGAAUCCUGGUCAAGUGUCCAAUUUUGCAUUCUUUGGUAACCCCCAAAGGAAGAAGAAAAUGUUGGGUGGCUUUGAGAACGUGGAUUCAGUGGCGAGGAGCUAGAUGACAAGACCUGGCCGCCUUCUGAGCCCUCAUGAAUAGAGGGUGCUCCUCCCACCACCAAGUGGCCGAUGUGAUGAUCUAAGAAGAUUGUGCACUUGCAACUCCUGUGAGGAGUUGUGUGAUCAUACAACUUUGGGUAAGUUAAGCCACGUUGGAUCCUCAUCGUACUCAGCAGUAAAACGAGCACUCUAACUCUGAAGGUCUUUUCCUGCUCUGAAAUUCUACUGGAUUCCCUUACCAUCAGAUACCCACCUCUCUCCUCUUGGACAGAGGAGAAGCCAAGCCACUAAAAGGACAAAGAGAAAACUAUAUGGAUGAUGUAGGAUCGCAACCAAUUUUGCUCCUGCCAAAAGAAAACCCACACUGCAUAUUUGAGUUUUUCAGAGGACAUGUACUGUUUGAAAAUCAUCUUCCGUCUUGCAUUUAAAAAAAAAAUUUUUUAAGAAGAAGAAAAAGACAAGUGGGAGAGGCAUAAACAUUCUGCACAUAACUUUUCUACUUAUAGACAGAUUUUUUUUGAUGCUUUUUUUUCUCUCUCUCUCUGGAGGUGUGAGGGAGGAUUCCCAUAGCUGGAGGAGGGUGGAAGUCAGGGGACUGUGGGAGAAGGCAAGUGUGAUCGUGGGACUACACUUAAUUCAUUAAAAUGUGUGUUGUUUUUUUUUUAAAAAAAAACCAUUUUGCCAAAAAUGAGCUUUGUGGGAAGGAAAAGGCAGCAGGGACAUAGAUGCGUGGGGGAAAGGGA